GGGUUGUGAGGUUAAGCGACUAAGCGUACACGGUGGAUGCCCUGGCAGUCAGAGGCGAUGAAGGGCGUGCUAAUCUGCGAUAAGCGCCGGUAAGGUGAUAUGAACCGUUAUAACCGGCGAUACCCGAAUGGGGAAACCCAGUGUGACUCGUCACACUAUCAUUAACUGAAUCCAUAGGUUAAUGAGGCGAACCGGGGGAACUGAAACAUCUAAGUACCCCGAGGAAAAGAAAUCAACCGAGAUUCCCCCAGUAGCGGCGAGCGAACGGGGAGGAGCCCAGAGCCUGAAUCAGCAUGUGUGUUAGUGGAAGCGUCUGGAAAGGCGCGCGAUACAGGGUGACAGCCCCGUACACAAAAGCGCAUGUGCUGUGAGCUCGAUGAGUAGGGCGGGACACGUGGUAUCCUGUCUGAAUAUGGGGGGACCAUCCUCCAAGGCUAAAUACUCCUGACUGACCGAUAGUGAACCAGUACCGUGAGGGAAAGGCGAAAAGAACCCCGGCGAGGGGAGUGAAAAAGAACCUGAAACCGUGUACGUACAAGCAGUGGGAGCCCCACCACCAAAGCAUUUGCUGUACCGCGUUGACGGAGCGAAGCGACGUCAAACCGAUAAAACAGCAGUGUAAAGUGAGCCGCAGGGCGCUUUGCGCGACAGCGCA
Molecule: ribosomal RNA, 655 nt
Filed under: Salmonella enterica subsp. enterica serovar Enteritidis
Lineage: Bacteria; Pseudomonadati; Pseudomonadota; Gammaproteobacteria; Enterobacterales; Enterobacteriaceae
Description: partial 23S ribosomal RNA
Rfam family: Bacterial large subunit ribosomal RNA
Source: RNAcentral